GACGAACGCUGGCGGCGUGCGUAAUACAUGCAAGUAGAACGCACAGGAUGCACCGUAGUUUACUACACCGUAUUCUGUGAGUUGCGAACGGGUGAGUAACGCGUAGGUAACCUGCCUGGUAGCGGGGGAUAACUAUUGGAAACGAUAGCUAAUACCGUAUAAGAACAUUUACUGCAUGGUAGAUGUUUAAAAGGUGCAAGAGCAUCACUACCAGAUGGACCUGCGUUGUAUUAGCUAGUUGGUGAGGUAACGGCUCACCAAGGCAACGAUACAUAGCCGACCUGAGAGGGUGAUCGGCCACACUGGGACUGAGACACGGCCCAGACUCCUACGGGAGGCAGCAGUAGGGAAUCUUCGGCAAUGGGGGGAACCCUGACCGAGCAACGCCGCGUGAGUGAAGAAGGUUUUCGGAUCGUAAAGCUCUGUUGUUAAGGAAGAACGUGUGUGAGAGUGGAAAGUUCACACAGUGACGGUACUUAACCAGAAAGGGACGGCUAACUACGUGCCAGCAGCCGCGGUAAUACGUAGGUCCCGAGCGUUGUCCGGAUUUAUUGGGCGUAAAGCGAGCGCAGGCGGUUAGAUAAGUCUGAAGUGAAAGGCAGUGGCUCAACCAUUGUAGGCUUUGGAAACUGUUUAACUUGAGUGCAGAAGGGGAGAGUGGAAUUCCAUGUGUAGCGGUGAAAUGCGUAGAUAUAUGGAGGAACACCGGUGGCGAAAGCGGCUCUCUGGUCUGUAACUGACGCUGAGGCUCGAAAGCGUGGGGAGCGAACAGG
This 773-nucleotide ribosomal RNA is filed under the name uncultured Streptococcus sp. Its description in RNAcentral is "bacterial SSU rRNA". It matches the Rfam family "Bacterial small subunit ribosomal RNA", at positions 28 to 776 of the family's 1533-position model. Lineage: Bacteria; Bacillati; Bacillota; Bacilli; Lactobacillales; Streptococcaceae. The record is from RNAcentral.